GUGAAUCUGGGAAUAGGAGGCACUUUGAAGCACAUCAUUUGGAUCACCAUAUUGUCGGAAAUGCAGAAUUGUUGGAAAGCAGAUUACAAGAGGAGAAUUCACCCAGCAUGUUUAAGUGGCCUUAUGGAGAGGCCAGGGGACAAGGAACUGAGAGAGGUCUCCAGCCAACAGCCAGCAAGCAACUGAGGUCCAACAACUUGUGAGUAGCUAAGUCCUUCUAACAACCACGUGGAUGAGCUUGGAAGCAGACUGUCAAGCCUUCGGAUGAGACCACAGCCCUGGACAACAACUUGACUGAAACCUGUGAGAGACCUUGAGGCAGAGGUGCUCAGCUACACUGUGACAAAACUCCUGAUCCACAGAUACUGUGAGAUAAUAAAUGUUUCUGACAUACAAAAGCCUCUAAGUUUUGGGGUCAUUGUUACAUAACUACAUGUCCAGUGUGGGUUGGGAAGGGGUGCUUGCAGGCACCCAGGCUGGUAAAGGCUCUAUCUCAACACCUGUUUCCAUGGUCACCAUAACAGACGAGGAAUUGCAUGCUGGUACUUAAAACUCCAACUCAAAAGUGACACACACCACUGUUACUUGUGUUUCAUUGGCCAAAUGAAGUCACAUAGUCACACCUAACUUCAAAGGGGGUGGAAGGAAAAGUAAUGGAAUAUGUGUGAACAGCACUGAUGAUUCCCAUAAUAAAAUCUGCCCUGAAGGAUUGUUGUGGGGACAAUGCAUUAAACUGCUGUCUCAGGAUGCUUGCAGCUACACGUGAGAGGAAACACCAUAUGAAUGUAUACAAUAAAGGCUUAAACAACAAAGGGAAUUUGUUGGCUCAUAUUUUUUGGCUACAGGAUGGUCUCAGUCACUUCACUUGGUGAAGAUAUUUCAGUGACGAAUCUGCAAACGUCUACUGGAUCUGAAAAUGCUUUGUAAAUGGAAAAGGCUGGACAAAG
This 947-nucleotide long non-coding RNA is filed under the name Equus caballus (horse). RNAcentral's name for it is "lncRNA (ENSECAG00000044263.1)". Lineage: Eukaryota; Metazoa; Chordata; Mammalia; Perissodactyla; Equidae. The record is from RNAcentral.